RNAcentral lists this unclassified non-coding RNA (345 nucleotides) under soil metagenome. Its description in RNAcentral is "partial contains 5.8S ribosomal RNA, internal transcribed spacer 2, and large subunit ribosomal RNA". The stretch from base 1 to 120 matches the Rfam family "5.8S ribosomal RNA", at positions 35 to 154 of the family's 154-position model. The record is from RNAcentral.
GAUGAAGAACGUAGCGAAAUGCGAUACGUAAUGUGAAUUGCAGAAUUCAGUGAAUCAUCGAGUCUUUGAACGCACAUUGCGCCCCCUGGUAUUCCGGGGGGCAUGCCUGUCCGAGCGUCAUUGCUGCCCUCAAGCCCGGCUUGUGUGUUGGGUCUCGUCCCCCUUCCCGGGGGGACGGGCCCGAAAGGCAGCGGCGGCACCGCGUCCGGUCCUCGAGCGUAUGGGGCUUUGUCACCCGCUCUGUAGGCCCGGCCGGCGCUUGCCGACACAUCAAUCUUUUUUCCAGGUUGACCUCGGAUCAGGUAGGGAUACCCGCUGAACUUAAGCAUAUCAAUAAGCGGAGGA